AUGCUGGAGCAGCUUGAUGUAUCUUAUAACAACUUGGAAGGGGCUGUUCCUACAAGUGGGAUCUUUGAGAAUUCUACCGCAGUACUUCUGGAUAAUAACAAGGGACUCUGUUCGAAUUUCUCCAGGCUGGCAUUACCAAUUUGUCCUGGCAUCUCAGCUUCAGCAAAUAAAACAAAGCAUCAUAUGUCCUCGCUGGCAACCUUGCUGCUAGUUGUACUACCACCACUUACUAUUGCUUUCGUAGUCUUGCUAUGGUUUCUACCCACUCUUUGGAAGAGAGCGGUAUUCUCAUUUUUACAAUUGGCUGUUGUGUCCAAGAAGAUGUUUCGUUUUGUUACCCAUCACAAGAGAAAAGAAGUGCAUACAGUUCCGCGCAACGAUGAGAAGAAGCUGAAGAGGGUGUCAUAUCAGGACAUUCUUAAAGCUACCAACUGGUUUUCUUUGCUUCAUACUAUUAGCUCAACCUCUACUGGGUCAGUUUAUGUUGGUAGGUUCAAGUCCGACAGGAGAUUGGUUGCCAUCAAAGUUUUCAACUUGAGUGAACCUAGCGGAAGUGAUAGUUACUUUAUUGAGUGUGAAGUGCUAUGA
This 588-nucleotide ribosomal RNA is filed under the name Triticum aestivum (bread wheat). RNAcentral's name for it is "partial small subunit ribosomal RNA". Lineage: Eukaryota; Viridiplantae; Streptophyta; Magnoliopsida; Poales; Poaceae. The record is from RNAcentral.